This 478-nucleotide ribosomal RNA is filed under the name uncultured bacterium. RNAcentral's name for it is "bacterial SSU rRNA". It matches the Rfam family "Bacterial small subunit ribosomal RNA", at positions 28 to 501 of the family's 1533-position model. The record is from RNAcentral.
GAUGAACGCUAGCGGAAGGCUUAAUACAUGCAAGUCGAGCGAGAAGGUGUAGCAAUACACUUGUAAAGCGGCGAACGGGUGAGGAAUACAUGGGUAAUCUACCAUCGAGUGGGGAAUAACCAACCGAAAGGUUGGCUAAUACCGCGUACGCCUCCGAAUCUUCGGGUUCGGAGGGAAAGCUGCACUGUGAGUGUAGCGCUCUUUGAUGAGCUCAUGUCCUAUCAGCUUGUUGGUAGGGUAACGGCCUACCAAGGCUUUGACGGGUAGCUGGUCUGAGAGGACGAUCAGCCACACUGGCACUGCGACACGGGCCAGACUCCUACGGGAGGCAGCAGUAAGGAAUAUUGCGCAAUGGGCGAAAGCCUGACGCAGCGACGCCGCGUGGGGGAUGAAGGUCUUCGGAUUGUAAACCCUUUCGGGAGGGAAGAUGGAGCGAGCAAUCGUUCGGACGGUACCUCCAGAAGCAGCCACGGCCAAC